UGUAGGUAUACAGAAUGGUGACAUAAUAGACAUCUCUUUGCCUUAAUUGUAUAUCAUUAGAUAUUAAUUAUGCACUGAGACAUGAAAUUCACAGAAACCAAGUGCUCCCUAUGAAGAGUUUCAGUAAAUCAGCAUUUUUCAACUAAAACAUCUCACUGAAAAAAUCUCUUACAAGGGAUGCCUAAAGCACUUUGGUACUUCUGAAAAUUUCAUCCAUAGCUCUUCCUGUCUGAAUAGCUUCAAUCAAGAAAUUAAAAAGUGGAAAUAUAUCACAUGACCAAUCACAAGGCAUGAAACUGGAGUCAAAAGAUCUGAAAUUUAUUCCAAGCUUAAUGGCCGAGGGGUGAUGUGGGUAGCAUCUCAUUUUUGUCUACUUUUGGUUACGUGGCUCAAAGGACUAGGUAUUCAUUUUAUAGUUGACUCAGCUGAGAACACUCAACAGAGCCCAAGCCAGGACCAAGUCUUGAACUCCAAUCUCCUGACUUCAUAGCAAGGCACAGUGAUCCUUUUUCCUUGAAAACUGAAUAACAAACAACAAAACAGUCACACACCAGGAAGAGCUGACCUAUUUUUCAAAGAAUUAUUAAUAGCAAAUAAAUGAAUACCAUUCCAAGUUUGUUUGUGAACA
Gavialis gangeticus (Gharial) is the source of this 628-nucleotide long non-coding RNA. RefSeq lists it as uncharacterized. The transcript is spliced from 3 exons. The record is from RefSeq and is a predicted model, not a curated record. NCBI's taxonomy places the organism in Eukaryota, Metazoa, Chordata, Crocodylia, Gavialidae.